Molecule: non-coding RNA, 1171 nt
Organism: Coturnix japonica (Japanese quail)
Lineage: Eukaryota; Metazoa; Chordata; Aves; Galliformes; Phasianidae
Source: RefSeq, a predicted model, not a curated record
AGGCUGUUUCUGACAAAUUAAUCAUAGUGUGCUUCAUUUGGGAGAGAAACAAAUAAAAGCAUCAAUAAAAGGGCAGUUACCUCUGAAGGAUGACAGACUGCAAUUAGCUGACUUCCAGUUUCAGGAAGCAUAGGAUGAAGAAUCAAGAAUCUAUGCUGCUGACAACUCUCCAGUCUGAGCAAUCCUCACUUGGCCUGUACUGACGUAUGGACAUCACUGAACACAAUGACAAAACCACAGUUUCUUCCAGUGAAAGAUUUAUUCUCACUAAGAAGGUUUUGUGCUAUCUGGUUUGUGUUACCCAUCUAAUAAUAGCUCUGUUUAUUAUUAAACUAUAUGCUAUGAUUAUGGUUAGAAUGCAAGUGGAGCUGGCAUUUUCUCAUUCAUAAAACUUGCUUUAGGUUGAUUCUGAUGCAAUGUAUUUUUUUCUGGAAACAUGUUGAAUAAUACAAGGACAAAUGGUGUUAUAUUUGGCUUAUUUUUGUUGUUUGUUUGUUUGUUUUCCCCACGUUUUGAAAUUUUUCAGGUGCCUUGAAUGCAUCAUUAUCUAUUAAGGGCAUUGCAGUUUUAAAAAGUCACACCUGUGCACAGUUCUGCUGAGAUCAAUAGGGCCUGUUCCAGGAUGAAGUUUCCUAAUAUGUAGCAGAGGCACCGUAUAAUUUUCUUCCUAUGUUUUAUGAGUAUUAGUUUGUACGCUGAGUGUUAGCUCUUUAAUUGCACUGUAUUUUAUUUGUAAUACAAUUCUAACAAAAGACUGCAAUUUUUAUUUUAUUUUUUUACUCAAAUUAAAAGUAAUGGGGCAAAACAGCCAUUAAAAGACAUUAUCCAGCUCCAGUGGCUUAAAAAAUUGGUUUUUCUUCAACAUAUUGCAAGGUGAUUGUGAAAUAUUGAAAUGCAGCUUCUCAUACUAGCAACAAACAUAUGCUUAUGCUUACUUAUAAUUCUUUUUCUCUAUUUCAACUCUUUAUUUUAUUUUUUCUUCACCAAAGGGGAAAUAUAAAUUGCUUGUAUUAUUAACCACUUGCCAAUCAGUGUAGUUAUGGUGUUUUCAGUUAAGCUAGAUGGGUCAUAUUUGCAUCCAAAAACGCAGAAAUCUUGCCUGCAAUUUUAGAGAAUUAUUGUGAAAUGUUCUCUCAUGCUUCCACCUCAGCACUGCUUUUUCAAUAUAAUU